Molecule: ribosomal RNA, 375 nt
Filed under: Isonychia shima
Lineage: Eukaryota; Metazoa; Arthropoda; Insecta; Ephemeroptera; Isonychiidae
Description: partial 16S rRNA
Source: RNAcentral
GGUAACUUAGUCUUAUAAUCACAAUUUGUGGAUCAAUUAAUCACUCAUCCGUGUUUUAGAAAAAGAAGAGUUAUCUUUAUCUUCCUGUCACCCCAACAAAAUAACUAUCAAAUUAAAUUCACUUUCUUCCAACUGAACUUACUCUGUUCGUUAUCAAGAUCUAUAGGGUCUUCUCGUCCUUCAAUUCUAUUUCAGCCUUUUGACUAAAAAGUUAAAUUCUACUAUGUUUUUAGUGAGACAGCUUGUACCUCGUUCAACCAUUCAUACCAGCCUUUAAUUAGAAGACUAAUGAUUAUGCUACCUUUGCACGGUCAAAAUACCGCGGCCCUUUAAUCUUCAGUGGGCAGGUCAGACCUUCUAUUCACCCAGAAGGCG